Molecule: long non-coding RNA, 114 nt
Organism: Etheostoma cragini (Arkansas darter)
Lineage: Eukaryota; Metazoa; Chordata; Actinopteri; Perciformes; Percidae
Exons: 3
Source: RefSeq, a predicted model, not a curated record
AUUUCUCAACCUGCACCCUAUUUUUCGCAUGCUUUGAUGUCUAAGUGUCUGCUGUGAACAAAAUCUUUGAAUUUAGUCCAGUAUUGAGUGAGAACGCUCCGACCAGCAGCCGUG